UACGAAGGGGGCUAGCGUUGUUCGGAUUUACUGGGCGUAAAGCGCACGUAGGCGGAUCGUUAAGUCGGGGGUGAAAUCCUGGAGCUCAACUCCAGAACUGCCUUCGAUACUGGCGAUCUCGAGUUCGGGAGAGGUGAGUGGAACUGCGAGUGUAGAGGUGAAAAUUCGUAGAUAUUCGCAAGAACACCAGUGGCGAAGGCGGCUCACUGGCCCGAUACUGACGCUGAGGUGCGAAAGCGUGGGGAGCAAACAGG
RNAcentral lists this ribosomal RNA (254 nucleotides) under uncultured bacterium. RNAcentral's name for it is "partial 16S ribosomal RNA". It matches the Rfam family "Bacterial small subunit ribosomal RNA", at positions 524 to 776 of the family's 1533-position model. The record is from RNAcentral.